CUUCCCAGGUCCACUACCAUGGCGAAUCACCUUACCCAGGAGGGCACUAUCCAACUUAACAAGUGCAGAAAUCCUGAUGAAUGGUUUUGCCUGCCAGGAAACUCCAGGAGGAAGUCAGUGUGGAUGGUUCUCAAAACCUUGGAGGGACUCCUUGAAUUUGUUACAUGUCCUGAUAAACUAUUGAAUCAGAGUCCCAGAGUAUCUUCACAGAGACAGCGGGCCAAUGACGGUAACUGUAGCUUUAUGCUGGGACUUACAUGCCGAGGCUUGAGGAUCCCUCCUGGAAACUCUCUGCCCAGAGUUUGGGCUGGGACCGCCAGGACCACACCGGAGAGGCUCUACAGGAAAACCCCAGCCGUGAGGUGGGGACUUUGCAUCCACCGAGGUCCAGAGGUCAGGGCAUUCUGUGGGCCACCUCACCUGGGGGACAAGGGGCUCAGUUUCUCAGCUUCCUUUAGAAGCCCUAAAUCCCUGCCCCUGGGACCCCGAAUCCCUGGAGUCAUGGCCCCUUCGGUCACUGCUUGAUCAGAGUGCUUUGCCCUGUGUUCAUCAGAAAGAUGUUAGGAAGGGGCUACCAUCUAGUGGGAGACCCUGGCUGUGCUGUGAACCCCCACAGGGCCUUCAGGGUUUCCAGCCCACAGUCCACAGAGAAGGGACUCUCUGUUCUAUAACCACAAGGAGCUGAAUUCGGCAACAACCCGAGAACUAGACCUCAGGGAGCCCUGAGCCCUGGUCAGCACCUUGAUCUUAGCUCCAUGGGCCCUGAGCUGAGUGCCCAGCACCUCAGGCUGGCCUUCUGACCAUGGAGAUUAAGACAAUGACCAGUGUUGUUUUGUGGUAGUUUGUUGGGGUGCAGCUGGUUUCCAUGUCCUUCACCUACUCGAUCUCUGUGUCUGUGCACCGGACACAGAUUCCAUGCCUCCAGGGUUGGGCAGGCCUGAGGUGGUCCCUGGGGAGGGAGGCAGAUGGCCACACCCUGGGCUGCUGGCCUUUGCAUGGUCACUGCAGUCUGCUAGAGAGGUUCCACCCAGAGACCUCCCGUGGCCUGCCUCCUCUGAGGACCUCAGGUCCUACAGCCCCAGCUCCCUGGCACUCAGGAAUCAUGAACCCUGGCUCUUGCUGGGCAGUAGACUGGGCCUGUUCUGCACCCUCCUAAGAGAGCAGACUGGGAGUCACACUCCAGGCUCAGCCCCUCACCACUCUGGCUCCUCCAAGGUCCCAGGUCCUCUGUCCUCUUGCACCCCUCUCUCCUGCUUCCCUCCCAGGAUGACACCCCAGCUCCUCUGCCGUAACCACACCCAGAUUUCGGGAGGAAGGUUGUCAGUGGACCAGUGGAGGCACAGAGGAUGUCGGAUGCCAAACACUAGACGUUUCCUUCCGUCCACCACGGACCCUCCACCUCCAUGCGGGCUUCUGGCUGUGCCCUCCCUGCGCUCUCUUUAAUUAGCCGGACCUUGGGGUGCUCCUGGACUGCACCCUGGGGUUCAGAGCCCCGGCCAGAGGGCUCAUUUCUCAAGGCCAGGAAAUGACAGGCUGUGGACAGGCAAUGGGGCUCGGGCCAGAGCCUGGGGACUGCACGCGGACUCUGCCCCUCAGGAGGCAGAAGCUGGGCCACAGCCCUGGGCCAGGGCCUUCCUACUGGAGCAGGCUCUCCCCAGGAACCAGGGGCCCCAGAAGCAGUAUUGCCUCUUUGUGCCCUUACAGAAACCUGGCUGAGGGGAGAGGCGCCCACCAUCAUUUAUAGAAGAGAAUUUGCUGAAGCCACAUGCAGUGUCACACACUCCGCCAGACGCUGGGACAAAGCUUGAGCGGAACACAAGGAUCAGGGUCAGGAGGCCAGUGGAAGAUGCUGGCCCUCCUCUGAGAAUUGGGGGUCACAGUGCCCUGCCUUUGGGGAGGGGAAACAAGUGGCAGCUCAGACACAGCCCUGGCCCCUACUGGAGCCCAGCUCAGAAUGAGCAACUGAGCCAAAUAGGGUGGGAGCCAUCCAAAGUGUGGGCAGUGGAUUAAGGAGAGGGGCCAAGGGGCUUCCUGGAAGAGGGCACCCACCUCUCCUGAGGGUACCUUCCUGUGGCAAGCAGGCAGGCCCCCCCAGCCUUCUCCCUAGUCUGGGGGUCCCGCGACUCAGCCGCCUGGGACACUUGUCAGUCCGGGUGGUUGAGAGGAGAUGGCCUUGGCGCCAGGCCAGGACACUUCGGGAGGUUGACAUCAGCACAGACUCACACUGCUGGCCCCUGUCGGGCAGACCCAAGAAUAGCCUUUUCACGGAGUUGAGCCAUCUACGCAGCCAGGUGGGGCUGGGGAGCUUUGGGGGCUGUGCUGUGCUGGUGCCCAGCCUUCUGUCCCCUCACCCCCUGCAGCUCCUCCUAGGAGAGAAGGGGGUCCCACCCACUCUGCACCCACCAUGAGGCUCCAGGUGACGAGGGCAAUGCCUGAGGACAGACAGUGGUAACUGGACCCUCUCAGACCCGCAGGGACCCUCCUCGCCUUCUCACUGGGCUCCCUCCACGGCCUGACUGAGCUUGCUCCACUCCCAGGUGAGACCCAGCUAGCCCCAGGAUGGGCCCACUGGCAUGGAGCAGGCGCCAGGCCAACCGUGAAGCCCAGGAUGGGGGCCGGCAGAGUGACCAGCCCCCCCGACACGCCUCCUGCCCACCUUCCCCAGCCCCGGCCCAGACCCCCUCAGGCAAAGACGGGACAGCUGGGAGAGUGGGGGUCCGUGAUGAGACACAGGGGUCACCAAAGUGCCAGCCACUCCCCCUAGGAGGCCCCUGCCCCUACCUAGCCAGCAACUACUUCCGGUGAUUUCUGGUUAAGAACUUGUGGUUCUGACUUAAGAGAUGACUCUUCCCCCCUCACCCCCGGGGCAGGUGGCUCAUUGGCACCUCCACACUGAGUACAAGACUCAGCUAGGGGCAGUGCGCCCUCAGCCCCAACUCCAGCUCCGUCUCCUCCUCAUCAGGCUUUUUAAUUAGCAUACCAGGAAAUAUGUCAGAGUUUGUAACCCUUAAAAAACAUGGUGCUGAGCAGGUGUGGUGCACAGCUGUAAUCCCACCAUCUGAUGGGCUGAGGCAGGCAGAUGAAAGCCAACCUGUGCUACAGAGUGAGAUCCUGUCUCAGAAAAAAGAGUCCCCUGUGCCCUGAUGACCAAACUGAGUGACUGGGCUCAGUGGGUACUGCAGGCUUGGCAAGGUACCUCAACUCUCUGCCAAGUGAUGCCGAUUGAAGGCUGAAGCCACUGGCCCUGAAGCUCAGAUAGUGGUGGCCCUGGAAGGGCAGAAGUUGCUGUGGAUGGUGACCACCCUCCCCACUCGGACAGCCGCUGGGAAAUGGGACCGCGGUGCCGGGGGAAGCAUCCUGCCUGUAGCAGCUCAGGUCCAGCUCGCCACCCAGGGACCCUUCAGCUUAGGGGUGGGGAGUGGCUUCCUGGGGAGGGGUCCCCUUUUCUACUAGGAGCAUCCCUGAGGCAAGAGGGCACCCUUGCAGAGCUACCUACAGCCUGUGAGCAGGAGGCCUGGCUGGCACCUGAGGGGCUGGGCCACCGCAGCGCCCUCUGACCCCAGCCUCCGGCCCAGAGCAAUGAUACCCACUCCCAUGGGGCAGUUGGAGGGUCAAGCCAGGAAGCAGGUGCAGGAUGUGUGCUCUGACUGUAGAAGAUUCACCCCAAGUCUCCAAGCCCUGCUUCCCGGAAGUGGGCAGGGUGUCGCCUGGUUGUUCUGACUUGGAGUUUCCCCUGGAGAACAGCAAGAACCCCUCCUCUGGGAGGGUGCCACGCCAGCCCUCAUCCCUCAGCCAGGUGGUAUUUGUCAGAGGGGGUGUGGCUGGGCCUCGAGGUCACAGGAAAAGAAGGUGAGCCAGGCACGGGAGCAUUCUCUCCUGCCCUUAGCUCCAUUUUGCAUCUCCUGGCAAGUGAGCCGAGGGUGUCAGGAGGGGAGCCAGCUCCAGGCAGGAGCUGCUGGGGCUCUGCCCACCAUCCCCGCAGGCCCUCACUGCAGGUGAGCGGACAGAGCUGCUCUUCCCCCUCCCCAAACCCCAGCUGUUGCCCCUCAAAAAAGACUGAGAGUCCCAGCGUCACCAAGGCAUCAGCCUCCCAGCCCUGGAGGCAUCAGGGCCAGUGGGCAACACCACUCCACCGUUCUGGUGAGGACAGAAAGCCACAGGACACCACCCCUGCCCUGAAGGGGGCCCCCACAGGGCUCCCGGGACUCAGGGCUGUUCCCUGCCCUUCUCUGUCCCCUCCCAGACGCAGGUGAAGCUCGCUCUCCAGGCUCAGCUCCCUCCUGAGCAUCUGCAAGCCCACACUGACCAUUCAGACUUCAUUGAUUGGCUGAAAGGUGAAACCUGAAAUAGCCCCCAUUGCUGGUAAACAGGAAUUUUAAUCAUUUGGGCAGCGAAUGCUAAUCUCUGGUAUCGCUGUCUCUCAGGAAGUGUGUGGGGGUGAUCCUUCCACACCGCAAGGACAGUGCCAGAAUGGCAAGCCGUGGUGGGCAGGGGGACAUGGUGUCGCCCAACCCUCUGUGCUGGCAAGCAGGAGCCUGUGGGGACUUCCUCCGGGGAGUCUGGGUCCCUUGGCCAGGGUGCCCAGGGUUUGCUCCUGGCCCUGCUACUUUCUCCCUGUGGCUCCAUGAGCAAGUUGCUUGGCCCACUGUGCCUCAGUGUCCUCAUAUGAAAAGCCACAUAACAGCCACAGGUGACCAUGCGCCUGGUCGGAGGACUCUUCCCGGAGUGCAGCGUGGGGCUGCGUCUACAGGGGGCGCCAUGCCUGAAAGUGGACAACACCCUGCACCAGAGCCUUCGAAGAGAUUCUGCUUCUCGAGGUGUUCAGUAGCAAACAGCACAGCCUUCCCUGGGCCAGCUCCACCCUGAGCACUGUCCGCUUGGAGCCUGGAGCAUCGGGUCACCUUUCCAGUCCCGCUCUGUGCUGCAUGAGUCCUCAGAGAUAGGAGGCACCUGCUGCCACGGAGCACACUCAUCCACACGUCCCGGCUGCCCACCUGCUGAAGGGGGACCCAGGCUCAGGCUCGCCUCUCCUCCCUGAGGUCUCAGCCGGCCCAGCUACAGCAGGGGAGGAGUGGCCGAGGCCGGGCAGCACAUGACCCUGGCAGCCAGCCCAGGGUGAGAACCUGCUUGUGUUUUUAGGGUGCGGGGCCCCGGGCCUUAGAAGGAGACCAGGAAGCAGAGCCCAUGGGAGGCCCCUGUAGUCUGAGCAGGGGUGGUAUGGAGCAGGCUGGGGUGUGGCGAGGCUGGCACACUGGGAAAGCCUUCACUGCACUCCUGGCCCUGUCCUCGGCCAUGUGCCACCACAGCCACUGAGCCUGGGCAGGAGUUCGAACUCCCCAGGUGAUUCACAGAGGUGCCAGGACUGGAAAUGAGCUCCCGGAAAAGCCCGAG
Molecule: long non-coding RNA, 5391 nt
Filed under: Fukomys damarensis (Damara mole-rat)
Lineage: Eukaryota; Metazoa; Chordata; Mammalia; Rodentia; Bathyergidae
Description: lncRNA (ENSFDAG00000031914.1)
Source: RNAcentral